This 497-nucleotide ribosomal RNA is filed under the name uncultured bacterium. Its description in RNAcentral is "partial 16S ribosomal RNA". It matches the Rfam family "Bacterial small subunit ribosomal RNA", at positions 28 to 507 of the family's 1533-position model. The record is from RNAcentral.
GAUGAACGCUGGCGGCGUGCCUAAUACAUGCAAGUCGAGCGAACAGAUGAGGAGCUUGCUCCUCUGACGUUAGCGGCGGACGGGUGAGUAAAACGUGGAUAACCUACCUAUAAGACUGGGAUAACUUCGGGAAACCGGAGCUAAUACCGGAUAAUAUAUUGAACCGCAUGGUUCAAUAGUGAAAGACGGUUUUGCUGUCACUUAUAGAUGGAUCCGCGCCGCAUUAGCUAGUUGGUAAGGUAACGGCUUACCAAGGCAACGAUGCGUAGCCGACCUGAGAGGCGGAUCGGCCGCACGGGAGCUGAGACACGGUCCAGACGCCUAAGGGAGGCAGCAGUAGGGUACCUUACGCAGUGGGCGAAAGCCUGGCGGAGCAACGGAGCGUGAGAGGUGAAGGUCUUCGGAUCGUAAAACUCUGUUAUUAGGGAAGAACAAAUGUGUAAGUAACUAUACACGUCUUGACGGUACUGGAUCAGAAAGCCACGGCUAACUACGUG